AGGCUUAACACAUGCAAGUCGAGCGGUAACAGAGAGUAGCUUGCUACUUUGCUGACGAGCGGCGGACGGGUGAGUAAUGCUUGGGAAUGUGCCAUUUGGUGGGGGACAACAGUUGGAAACGACUGCUAAUACCGCAUAAUGUCUACGGACCAAAGGAGGGGAUCUUCGGACCUUUCGCCGUUUGAGCAGCCCAAGUGAGAUUAGCUAGUUGGUGAGGUAAAGGCUCACCAAGGCGACGAUCUCUAGCUGGUUUGAGAGGAUGAUCAGCCACACUGGGACUGAGACACGGCCCAGACUCCUACGGGAGGCAGCAGUGGGGAAUAUUGCACAAUGGGGGAAACCCUGAUGCAGCCAUGCCGCGUGUGUGAAGAAGGCCUUCGGGUUGUAAAGCACUUUCAGUUGUGAGGAAAGGUGUAGGUUUAAUAAAUCUGCACUGUGACGUUAGCAACAGAAGAAGCACCGGCUAACUCCGUGCCAGCAGCCGCGGUAAUACGGAGGGUGCGAGCGUUAAUCGGAAUUACUGGGCGUAAAGCGCACGCAGGCGGUUUGUUAAGUUAGAUGUGAAAGCCCCGGGCUUAACCUGGGAAUAGCAUUUAAAACUGGCAGGCUAGAGUCUUGGAGAGGGGAGUGGAAUUCCAGGUGUAGCGGUGAAAUGCGUAGAUAUCUGGAGGAAUAUUAGUGGCGAAGGCGACUCCCUGGCCAAAGACUGACGCUCAUGUGCGAAAGUGUGGGUAGCAAACGGGAUUAGAUACCCCGGUAGUCCACGCCGUAAACGAUGUCUACUCGGAGUUUGGUAACUUAGUUACUGGGCUCCUAAGCUAACGCAUUAAGUAGACCGCCUGGGGAGUACGGCCGCAAGGUUAAAACUCAAAUGAAUUGACGGGGGCCCGCACAAGCGGUGGAGCAUGUGGUUUAAUUCGAUGCAACGCGAAGAACCUUACCUACUCUUGACAUCCAUAGAACUUUCCAGAGAUGGAUUGGUGCCUUCGGGAACUAUGAGACAGGUGCUGCAUGGCUGUCGUCAGCUCGUGUUGUGAAAUGUUGGGUUAAGUCCCGCAACGAGCGCAACCCUUAUCCUUAUUUGCCAGCACGUAAUGGUGGGAACUAUAAGGAGACUGUCGGUGAUAAACCGGAGGAAGGCGAGGACGACGUCAAGUCAUCAUGGCCCUUACGACCAGGGCUACACACGUGCUACAAUGGCCGGUACAGAGGGCAUCAAUACCGCGAGGGUAUGCGAAUCUCACAAAACCGGUCGUAGUCCGGAUCGGAGUCUGCACCUCGACUCCGUGAAGUCGGAAUCGCUAGUAAUCGUGGAUCAGAAUGCCACGGUGAAUACGUUCCCGGGCCUUGUACACACCGCCCGUCACACCAUGGGAGUGGGAUGCAAAAGAAGUGGGUAGUUUAAACUUCGGGAG
Molecule: ribosomal RNA, 1415 nt
Filed under: uncultured prokaryote
Description: partial 16S ribosomal RNA
Rfam family: Bacterial small subunit ribosomal RNA
Source: RNAcentral